Callithrix jacchus (white-tufted-ear marmoset) is the source of this 2326-nucleotide RNA transcript. It is a transcript of the gene named mitochondrial ribosomal protein L42, with no coding region annotated. The record is from RefSeq and is a predicted model, not a curated record. Lineage: Eukaryota; Metazoa; Chordata; Mammalia; Primates; Cebidae.
GUCUUUCCUCAAAGGGAGGCUGCUUUCCUGCGGAGACUACAUUUCCCAGAAUACCCAGCGGGCCGGGAGGGCGCGCGCGGCGCUGUCUCGUAGGACCCGGCUUGAAACAAGAUGGCGGGCUCGUGGUGAGAACCUGUGAAGGAGUAGAAAUUAGUGUGCCUAGAAGCAGAUUUUAAAAGCAGUUUCUCUUCAGAACAUCUUUUUUCAUACCACUUGAUAAGCAUCUUGGAACAUCAUGGCUGUAGCUGCAGUAAAAUGGGUGAUGUCAAAGAAAACUAUCUUGAAACAUUUAUUUCCAAUCCAAAGUUGGAGUGCAGUGGCACAAUCUUGGCUCACCAUGACUUCUGCCUGCCGGGUUCAAGCAAUUCUCCUGUCUCAACCUCCCAAGUAGCUGGGAUUACAGAUGGAGCUUUAUAUUGUGUUUGUCAUAAAUCUACAUAUUCUCCUCUACCAGAUGACUAUAAUUGCAAAGUAGAGCUUGCUCUGACUUCUGAUGGCAGGACAAUAGUAUGCUACCACCCUUCUGUGGACAUUCCAUAUGAACACACAAAACCUAUCCCUCGGCCAGAUCCUGUGCAUAAUAAUGAAGAAACACAUGAUCAAAUCCUAAAAACCAGAUUGGAAGAAAAAGUUGAACCCCUUGAACAAGGACCUAUGAUAGAACAACUUAGCAAAAUGUUCUUUACUACUAAGCACCGCUGGUAUCCUUAUGGACGAAAUUUUUCUUAAAUCAGUAAAGAAAAUAAGGAAGUGCAGAGAAGCAAAAAGAAAAAUUCUCCAUGGCGAAAUCAAACUAUCACUGCCAACAGUGCAUUUCAUUUCUCUAUACUAUAUGUAUCACAGAUGUCGUAAGAAUCCGAAUCCUCCAAAAGACAGAUGAAGCUGAGGUUCCUGGGAGAAUCAAAGAGAAAUGUGCCUCAUUUGCAAUUUGAAAAAAUGCCAUCUGGUGUAUUCACUAAUAUAUAGUAAAGUAAUAAUGAUAAAAUAUCUUUUCAUAUAUUAGAAUGUGUACUUUUAUAUAUGUUAAGUAAUUCUGGAUUUGACAUUCUCAUUUAGAGAAACCUAUUACAUUUUAUUUUUCUUUUUCAAUUUUAGUCUUUCAUUUAUGUAUGAUCUCCAGUUUAGGACUUUUCCGUAGUGCCAAAGCCAUAUAUAUUCAGUAGAACAUCAAUAGGUUAUAUCAGAACACUUUAUUAUAAAAUAGGCUGUGUGUUAGAUGAUUUGCUCAACUGUAGGGUAAUGUAAGUGUUCUGAGCAUAUUUAAGGCAGGCUAGCAUUUUGAAUUUACGAUAUUUUCAGUUUACAGUGCGUUUAUUGGGAUGUAAUCCUACCAUAAGUUGAGAAACAUCUCUUUUUGUGUGUCUAGUAUGAUUUAAGUAUUUUUACAUCAUUAGCCAAACAUUGUUAGUAGUAUAAAUAUGAUUAAUAAAAAGGUGCAUGGCUUUGCUGAGGGAGAUUUUUAAAUUGCCUUUGAGAAUAAACUCAAGGUCUACCAAGAAAAUAAAUGUUAUAAUGUUUCAAUUGGCUUCUAGGAAAUAAUUAAAUUACUGAUAUUUUGAUCAGAUUUUACUAUAUCUACUAGGUCCUUUCCAUCCAUUCUUAUUAAAUUCUCAAAAUAAUCCUUUGAAGAAGGGACGUAAUCGCAUUUUACAGUGACUGGAACCCUACCAAACAAGUGGGAGAGCCAGGAGCCAAACUGUCAGGCUCCAGAGCUUUUCUCAGUAUAUCACAAUGACAAAGGGGUGGUUUUGUUUCACCGAAGAAUGUGCUUUCCUAGAGAUUUUUCUAGAUAGAACAUUAUGUAAUUUGUUUUGAGGGUUUUUUUCCUGGCUGUCUUAAAGAUUAUGCUAGCUUCAGAACACAUGCAAACAGCUGCAGCUCUGUGAUUAAAAUGUUAAUGCCACUAGACUAGUGUUAUGAGAAUGUUAAUAAUAACUCUGCUGCCACUACUAGUUAUAUAGGAUCCUUAAUAAUAUUGCUUCCCCUUCAAUUUGUAUUUAGGAGGUGAAGAAUCUUUUAAUAAGGUGGAAAGUUGCUUUAUUUAAACUUGAGCUGUAAAAUGUUUGUGAUGCAGUAAAAUUGAUGUGAAAAAUAAUUUCUCAUUCAGAGUCCAUUGUUUGAUCUAGCUCUUUUAAUAAAGGAACUCUAGUUGAAGUUUCAAGUAGCCAGUGAAGUAGGAGAGACUAAAGAAAAUAAUUAAUAAUGAUGACCUUCUGUUACCCAAAGGAAAUAUUUUUAAGUGGUUUACUUUUUCCAUUAAUUUAAAUUUCAUUUGGAAAGAUUAAAAAAACAAGUUUGAUUGAAUUUAAUAAAUCAGAAAUAUUUA